GACUUCCAAUUAAAUUUUAUUUCAAAUAAGUAUAUAUAUUUUUAAAUAUAAAUACAUCCUUGUUAUAACUGGGGCAUACUUAUGCUAAAAAUGUAUUACCUGUUUUAGCUGAAAUUUGAGUUUAAAUGAUUGUCCUGUAUU
This 141-nucleotide microRNA precursor is filed under the name Vicugna pacos (alpaca). RNAcentral's name for it is "miRNA (ENSVPAG00000016393.1)". The record is from RNAcentral. Lineage: Eukaryota; Metazoa; Chordata; Mammalia; Artiodactyla; Camelidae.